Molecule: ribosomal RNA, 694 nt
Filed under: uncultured Bacteroidales bacterium
Lineage: Bacteria; Pseudomonadati; Bacteroidota; Bacteroidia; Bacteroidales
Description: bacterial SSU rRNA
Rfam family: Bacterial small subunit ribosomal RNA
Source: RNAcentral
AACGCUAGCUACAGGCUUAACACAUGCAAGUCGCGGGGCAGCAUGUCGGUUGCUUGCAACCGAUGAUGGCGACCGGCGCACGGGUGAGUAACGCGUAUCCAACCUGCCCUUCACCACGGAAUAAUCCAGUGAAAAUUGGUCUAAUACCGUAUGAGGUCAUACGAUGGCAUCAGAAUAUGACGAAAGGUUUAGCGGUGAAGGAUGGGGAUGCGUCUGAUUAGCUUGUUGGUGAGGUAACGGCUCACCAAGGCGACGAUCAGUAGGGGUUCUGAGAGGAAGGUCCCCCACAUUGGAACUGAGACACGGUCCAAACUCCUACGGGAGGCAGCAGUGAGGAAUAUUGGUCAAUGGGCGAGAGCCUGAACCGGCCAAGUAGCGUGCAGGACGACGGCCCUAUGGGUUGUAAACUGCUUUUAUAUGGGGAUAAAGUGAGCUACGUGUAGUUUAUUGCAGGUACCAUAUGAAUAAGGACCGGCUAAUUCCGUGCCAGCAGCCGCGGUAAUACGGAAGGUCCAGGCGUUAUCCGGAUUUAUUGGGUUUAAAGGGAGCGUAGGCCGCCCCUUAAGCGUGUUGUGAAAUGCCGCGGCUCAACCGUGGCACUGCAGCGCGAACUGGGGGGCUUGAGUGCACGCAACGCAGGCGGAAUUCGUGGUGUAGCGGUGAAAUGCUUAGAUAUCACGAAGAACUCCGAUUG